RNAcentral lists this ribosomal RNA (1962 nucleotides) under human gut metagenome. RNAcentral's name for it is "bacterial LSU rRNA". It matches the Rfam family "Bacterial large subunit ribosomal RNA", at positions 1 to 1990 of the family's 2925-position model. The record is from RNAcentral.
GAAAGUAAGUAAGGGCGUAUGGGGGAUGCCUAGGCUCUUGGAGGCUAAGAAGGACGUGGUAAGCUGCGAAAAGCUGCGGGGAUUUGCAAACGAGACUCGAUCCGCAGAUAUCCGAAUGGGACAACCCGGCAGGUAGAAGACCUGUCACACCGCGAGGUGAGCUAACCCUCUGAACUGAAACAUCUAAGUAGGAGGAGGAAAAGAAAGAAACAUCGAUUUCCAAAGUAGCGGCGAGCGAAAUGGAAGGAGCCCAAACCGAUAUUGUUACGGCAAUAUCGGGGUUGUAGGACUGCAAUAUUCAAUUAACAAUGAACUGGAAUGGUCUGGAAAGUCCAUCCAUAGAGAGUGAAAGGCUCGUACAGGUAAGUUUGUUAUGCGAAAGCAGUAUCCUGAGUAUGGCGGGACACGAGGAAUCCUGUCAGAAUCAGCCGGGACCACCCGGUAAGGCUAAAUACUCCCAAGAGACCGAUAGUGGACCAGUACUGUGAAGGAAAGGUGAAAAGAACCCCGAACAGGGGAGUGAAAUAGAACCUGAAACCAUACGCUUACAACCGGUCGGAGCAGCUUCGUGCUGUGACGGCGUGCCUAUUGAAUAAUGAGCCUACGAGUUACUAAUCACUAGCGAGGUUAAGUGCAAGGAUGCACGGAGCCGAAGCGAAAGCGAGUCUGAACAGGGCGUUUAGUUAGUGGUUGUAGACGCGAAACCUUGCGAUCUACCCUUGAGCAGGUUGAAGGUUGGGUAAAACCAACUGGAGGACCGAACGAAUAAGCGUUGAAAAGCUUCUCGAUGACUUGAGGGUAGGGGUGAAAGGCUAAUCAAGCUGGGAAAUAGCUCGUACUCCCCGAAAUGCCUUUUGGGGCAGCGUUGUAAUAAAGAGUCUACUGGAGGUAGAGCUACUGAUUGGAUGCGGGGGCUUCACCGCCUACCAAAUCCUGACAAACUCCGAAUGCCAGUAGUAUGAUUUACAGCAGUGAGUGACUGGGUGCUAAUGUCCAGUCGCAAAAGAGGAACAACUCAGACCAGCAACUAAGGUCCCGAAGAAUAUGCUAAGUUGAUCUAACGAUGUUUUGUUGCAGAGACAGCUAGGAUGUUAGCUUGGAAGCAGCUAUUCAUUCAAAGAGUGCGUAACAGCUCACUAGUCGAGCGACAGAGCGUGGAUAAUAAACGGGCAUCAAGCAUAUCACCGAAGUUCUGGGCGCGAGAGCGCGGUAGGGGAGCAUUCCAUUCAGCGUCGAAGCAGUUUCGUGAGGAAUUGUGGAGCGUAUGGAAAAGCAAAUGUAGGCAUGAGUAACGAUAAUGCGGGAGAGUAACCCGCACACCGCAAGACCAAGGUUUCCUGAUCAACGCUAAUCGGAUCAGGGUUAGUCGGGUCCUAAGGGUAAGCCGAACGGCGAUCUCGAUGGAUAAUCGGUUAAUAUUCCGAUACUAACAUAUACCUCGAUGGAGAGACGAAGGAACGUAAGUGCCGCCACCUGACGGAAUAGGUGGUUAAAGGGCGUAGGUAUAGGGGCAGAUUAAGAGUUAGUCCUUGCUGAAACCUGACAGUACAGAGAGCCUACGGGCAAUUUGAUAGAGCACCCAAGUCGACUUCCGAGAAAAUCUUCUAAGUUAUAGUAUAUGUUACCCGUACCGUAAACCGACACAGGUGGUCGAGGAGAGUAUCCUAAGGUGCUCGAGUGAAUCACGGUUAAGGAACUAGGCAAAUUAACCCCGUAACUUCGGGAAAAGGGGUCCCUAUGAAAGUAGGGCGCAGCGAAGAGGUCCAGGCGACUGUUUAUCAAAAACACAGGGCUCUGCAAAUUCGAAAGAAGACGUAUAGGGCCUGACACCUGCCCGGUGCUGGAAGGUUAAGAGGGGAUGUCAUCGCAAGAGAAGCAUUGAAUCGAAGCCCCAGUAAACGGCGGCCGUAACUAUAACGGUCCUAAGGUAGCGAAAUUCCUUGUCGGGUAAGUUCCGACCUG